GCCACCUUUCAUCUAUCAAAUAAUACCAACUGGAACAUGGAACAUGGAUUUCAGUCAACCUUUAAUCAGCCUAAAACACAUAUCUGUUUCACCAACAAAUUUAAGAGACUCAAAAUGGCUUCCACAGAAACUUGGACCAUCCAGGGGGCGUGUCCAGCUGUUAUUAUAGCUGCAGUACAGUCUAUGUAUUUUGUGUGUGUAAUAUGUAAUAUAAAAAGCUAACAUAUUCUCAG
Molecule: non-coding RNA, 233 nt
Organism: Pelobates cultripes (western spadefoot toad)
Lineage: Eukaryota; Metazoa; Chordata; Amphibia; Anura; Pelobatidae
Source: the annotation of a GenBank genome assembly